RNAcentral lists this unclassified non-coding RNA (266 nucleotides) under Stereum ostrea. RNAcentral's name for it is "partial internal transcribed spacer region". The stretch from base 1 to 46 matches the Rfam family "Eukaryotic small subunit ribosomal RNA", at positions 1786 to 1831 of the family's 1831-position model. Lineage: Eukaryota; Fungi; Basidiomycota; Agaricomycetes; Russulales; Stereaceae. The record is from RNAcentral.
AAGUCGUAACAAGGUUUCCGUAGGUGAACCUGCGGAAGGAUCAUUAAUGAAAUUAUGACUGGGGUUGUAGCUGGCCUAUAAAACGGCAUGUGCACGCUCCUUUCACAAUCCACACACACCUGUGCACCUUCGCGGGGGUCUUUUUUUCUCUUUGGGGGAAUAAAGACUCGCGUCCCUUUACACACCCUUUGUAUGUCUUAAGAAUGUCUACUCGAUGUAAUAAAACGCAUCUAAUACAACUUUCAACAACGGAUCUCUUGGCUCUC